AAUUCCUAAUGCUGAGUGAAUAUCUAUUAGACUAUGACAACGUUAGAGGUUAUUGUUUAUGUUGGGGUUCAGAAUUUCUCACGAAAUGCAUCCAACUAUCCAGUUGCGUAUACUGAUUCCACUGGGGAAAUCAGCAUCUGCAGGUUCAUGAACAGUGUGAUCCCUCAAGCAUGCCACAUGGAAAAUGCAUGUGAUGGCAUGUGUUUGUAUGACUGGAUGUCUGCCUUCUGCUUCCUUGAAGGCUGGUAGCACCGAAGAAGAUGUGGUACUUUGUUGAGCCCUCAGUAUAGCCUCUGAAUGAGGAUGUUUAAACUGUACCUGAUGAUAUUGGUCUACACUGAACUUGGGGUGAAUUUGAAUAUGUCAGUUUUUUAUUUUACAGAGGAAAGCCUUUAUGAACUUUGAAAACCAUUGUGUUAUUGGGUGACUUGGUUGCUUGACAUGGUGACAUUUUGGUAUGUGUGUAAAUGUUUCAAUUAGUCUUGAAACAAGUUAGAGCCAACCUAAUGAUCUAAAUUAGAUGCCGACAUGGAUAUGUUUUUCUCCUUAGACUUAUUUAUUGAUUCUUUACAU
This 573-nucleotide unclassified non-coding RNA is filed under the name Hevea brasiliensis (rubber tree). Lineage: Eukaryota; Viridiplantae; Streptophyta; Magnoliopsida; Malpighiales; Euphorbiaceae. The record is from RNAcentral.